Molecule: long non-coding RNA, 1616 nt
Organism: Castor canadensis (American beaver)
Lineage: Eukaryota; Metazoa; Chordata; Mammalia; Rodentia; Castoridae
Source: Ensembl
GAUAAAGGAGAAAAUGUGGCUUUUCUGACCUUUAAAAGAUUAGGAUUUUUAAAUGGAAACAGGAAAUAAUGUUGAAGGUGCAUGACUAAAGGGGACAUUUAAAUGGCCAAUAAAAGGUGCAUGAAGUUACCAGGAAAAUGUGAAUAAAAAUCAUAAUGAGAUACCACUUAACUGGAACAAAACUGCAAAGGACAAAUGAUAACUGUAUUUUGCAUAGAAAAUGAGGCAACUAGAAACCAUCUUUAAAAUGAUGUGAAUUGGGCUGGUGGAGUGGCUCAAGUGGUAGAGUGCCUGCCUAGCAUGCAUGAGCCCUGAGUUCAAAUCCAGUACCACCAAAAAAAAAAUUAAAAUGAUGUGAAUUAAGUUGUUAAAACAACUUGGAAAAUUAAAAAAAAGAUUAGAGUUCUUAAGCUCUAAAUAAAAAGCUAAGGGGUGACAAAAGAAUCUUUAAAAUUCUGAAGGAUUUGAACAGGAUUAUCAGAAUUAUUGUUAAGAAUACUAAAAAGGAGAGAUUUUCCCUGAAACUAGAAAUAUUCAGUUGUAGAGAACAAAAGGCAUCUCCUGGCUCCUUCAUAAAAGUUCUGAUGAAUUUGUUUCUUAAUAUAUGCCUUCUUAAGUUCUGCAGCUUUUUGUUUUCUUUAAUUUUAGGAAGAUCCUGCCUUGAUUCGUUGGACCUAUGCAAGAUCAGCAAACAUCUAUCCGAAUUUCAGACCCACUCCCAAGAACUCACUCCUGGGGGUUUUGUUUGGAAUUGGACCCCUUGUCUUUUUGUAUUAUGUUUUCAAAACUGAUAGGGAGAGAAAGGAAAAACUUAUCCAGGAAGGAAAAUUGGACCGAACACUUUCUAUCUCAUAUUAAGUCUGGCAAGGAUGACUGUGUUCUUGCCUGAAUAAAUCUUCUAUUAAUCACUAAAAGUUUCUCUUACUUUCAUUACUUUAAUUCAGCGUUAAAACUUACCAGUACCCUAACAACAGAGGUGCAGAAGUGGCCUGUAUUUGGAAUCACUACCAUCAGAAUAAUGGUCAACAUUUGCUGGAUAUUGUUGAGUCCCUUUUUUCUAAGAGCUCACAGUUUAAUGAAAAAAAAAAUUGUUUAUUCAUUAAAUCAGUCAUUCAACAAAUGCAUGUUAACUGAGCCAAGUAUUGUCUUAUUUGCUGAAGAUAUAAGUUGGUGAGACAGACUUAGUGUGCACACACUCUUAACUUUAUUGAGCAAGUAUUAUUUGAGUGCUUAUUAUGCAUCUGGUACUAUUUAGUACUUAAGGUCUUGUCUGGCCAUAGGCACAUUGGUAAACACAGUAGGAGAGUAACAAUGUGAAAAAUACAACAGGUUCAGGAAGAUUAUGCCAAUACUGAUGAGGAAGCAGUUCUGUUUGAGAAGUUUUAAGGCGAUGGUAUUUAUGAUUUAGCCUCUGAAAUUCACAAGGCUGACAGGUCAAACUGGAACCUGAAAGGGCAAGGCAUGUUGGAUGUGUCUGGCUUGGAGGCCUCUGUGGAGUAAGAAAACAGAGGGUGAAGGUCAUGCUGAGGAACAGAAGUAUAAUGGCUACGAGCAUGGGCUUUGGAGGUCAGAUCUGGGCUAAAGACUAGCUCAGAUUUAGCAGUUAGAAUCUCAAG